This 322-nucleotide ribosomal RNA is filed under the name uncultured eukaryote. RNAcentral's name for it is "partial 18S ribosomal RNA". It matches the Rfam family "Eukaryotic small subunit ribosomal RNA", at positions 1470 to 1796 of the family's 1831-position model. The record is from RNAcentral.
CCCUUAGAUGUUCUGGGCCGCACGCGCGCUGCACUGAUGCAUUCAACGAGUGUACCUUGGCCGAGAGGCCUGGGCAAUCUUUUGAACGUGCAUCGCGAUAGGGAUAGAUUAUUGCAAUUAUUAAUCUUGAACGAGGAAUUCCUAGUAAACGCAGAUCAUCAAUCUGCAUUGAUUACGUCCCUGCCCUUUGUACACACCGCCCGUCGCACCUACCGAUUGGAUGGUCCGGUGAAGCCUCGGGAUUGUGGCGGUUGCCUUUAUUGGUGGCCGCCGCGAGAACUUGUCUAAACCUUNUNAUCUAGNGGAAGGUGAANUCGUANCA